Talpa occidentalis (Iberian mole) is the source of this 691-nucleotide long non-coding RNA. RefSeq lists it as uncharacterized. The record is from RefSeq and is a predicted model, not a curated record. Lineage: Eukaryota; Metazoa; Chordata; Mammalia; Eulipotyphla; Talpidae. The transcript is spliced from 4 exons.
CUGCGCUCGCCUGGCGUUGCCUGCCUUCAGCAUGCACGGCUUCCUGGCUCAAACUGCGUCACAGUGUGGAAGACAACCAAGAGUCAAGAAUUUCACACAGUAUUAUUUUAAGGCCUUUGUAAUAUCUGGUCCCAAUAUGACAGAAUGAAUUUUCUUCCAUAGCACAAGCCAUUAUUACAAAAGAAAAUAGCAAGGUAAUGCAAUUUUUCUAAUUACCAGAACUAAUUAUCAAGAGUAGAACACUAAUUUUUAAAUUACCUUACUUAGGAUGAACAUGCAUCAACAGUGGAACAGGGAAUAGAAGAUAUAAGUGGAGCUGGAAGUUACUAAGCUGAGCAUAAUCCCCUCCAGCUGCAUCUAUGUUGCUGCAGAUGAUCCUUCAGUGAAUAGACGUCGGACUCUACUUUGUGGUUUCCAUACACAGUGGGGUUUUCAUAGCAGCAGGGACUUCUGGUAAUUCUCUAGUCUGCUCAGCUCUGCUUCUCUACCACGUUCCUUACAUUCUCCUGCCCUCCAGCCCUCUCUGACUCCAGAACAUUCCCAUCAGUAUCCACAUAUUGCUUCCCACUUCACCAAGAAAACUGAAUCCAUCAUGAGGAUUGAACUUCUUGUCAUCUAAUGUAAGAACAUACUUGCAGGCACCUCUCCUGCCUACUUGUGACUAUGCAGGUGCCUUUUUCUCCUUUUCCUA